This 257-nucleotide ribosomal RNA is filed under the name uncultured bacterium. RNAcentral describes it as "partial 16S ribosomal RNA". It matches the Rfam family "Bacterial small subunit ribosomal RNA", at positions 524 to 776 of the family's 1533-position model. The record is from RNAcentral.
UACGUAGGUGGCGAGCGUUGUCCGGAUUUAUUGGGCGUAAAGGGCGCGCAGGGUGGUGCGGCAAGUCCGUCGUGAAAAUCUCCCGGCUCAACUGGGAGGUGCGGCGGGGACUGCCGGACUAGAGGCACUCAGAGGCCGGUGGAAUUCCCGGUGUAGUGGUGGAAAUGCGUAGAGAAUCGGGAGGAACACCAGUGGCGAAGGCGGCCGGCUGGGGGUGACCUGACGCUGAGGCGCCGAAAGCGUGGGGAGCGAACCGG